RNAcentral lists this ribosomal RNA (2898 nucleotides) under Clostridioides difficile. RNAcentral describes it as "23S ribosomal RNA". It matches the Rfam family "Bacterial large subunit ribosomal RNA". Lineage: Bacteria; Bacillati; Bacillota; Clostridia; Peptostreptococcales; Peptostreptococcaceae. The record is from RNAcentral.
GGUCAAGUUAUUAAGGGUGCAGGGCGGAUGCCUUGGCACUAGGAGCCGAUGAAGGACGUGAUAAGCUGCGAUAAGCUUCGGGGAGUUGCACGUAAACUUUGAUCCGAAGAUUUCCGAAUGAGGAAACUCACUUAGAGUAAUGUCUAAGUAUCAUUAAGUGAAUACAUAGCUUAAUGAGGGGAACUCAGGGAACUGAAACAUCUAAGUACCUGAAGGAAGAGAAAGAAAUUCGAUUCCGUAAGUAGCGGCGAGCGAACGCGGAUUAGCCCAAACCAAUAAAGUUUUCUUUAUUGGGGUUGCGGACAUAUCAUAACGAAGAGGUAUCGUAAUUGAAGAGGUUUGGAAAGACCCACCACAGAAGGUAAUAGUCCUGUAUGUUAAACGAGAAGACUUCAGAUAUGAUCCAGAGUACCACGGGACACGUGAAACCCUGUGGGAAGCAGGAGGGACCACCCUCCAAGGCUAAAUACUACCUAGUGACCGAUAGCGUAUAGUACCGUGAGGGAAAGGUGAAAAGAACCCCGGGAGGGGAGUGAAAUAGAACCUGAAACCCUGCACUUACAAGCUGUGGAAGCACAUUUCUUGUGUGACCGCGUACUUUUUGUAGAACGGGCCAACGAGUUACGUUAAGUAGCAAGGUUAAGCACUUAAGGUGUGGAGCCGUAGCGAAAGCGAGUUUUAACUGAGCGUUCAGUUACUUGACGUAGACCCGAAACCGGGCGACCUACCCAUGAGCAGGAUGAAGCGAAAGUAAAAUUUCGUGGAGGUCCGAACCCACGAGCGUUGAAAAGCUCGGGGAUGACUUGUGGGUAGCGGUGAAAUUCCAAUCGAGCCCGGAGAUAGCUGGUUCUCCCCGAAAUAGCUUUAGGGCUAGCCUCAAGGUGAGAGAUACGGAGGUAGAGCACUGAAUGUCCUAGGUGGUAUUGCACCUACCGAAGACUAUCAAACUCCGAAUGCCGUCAUCUUAUACUUGGGAGUCAGACUGUGGGUGAUAAGAUUCAUAGUCGAAAGGGCAACAGCCCAGAUCGUCAGCUAAGGUCCCUAAAUGUAAGUUAAGUGGUAAAGGAUGUGGGAUUGCACAGACAACCAGGAUGUUGGCUUAGAAGCAGCCACUCAUUCAAAGAGUGCGUAAUAGCUCACUGGUCGAGUGAUCCUGCGCCGAAGAUUUCCGGGGCUAAAACUUACUACCGAAGCUACGGCAUCAGUAAUGAUGGGUAGGGGAGCUUCCCAUACGGGUUGAAGCAUGACCGUAAGGACAUGUGGACAGUAUGGGAGUGAGAAUGUUGGCAUGAGUAGCGAGAUGUGGGUGAGAAUCCCACAGGCCGUAAACCCAAGGUUUCCAGGGGAAGGUUCGUCCGCCCUGGGUUAGUCGGGACCUAAGCUGAGGCCGAAAGGCGUAGGUGAUGGACAACAGGUUGAUAUUCCUGUACUACCGAUAACCGUUUGAGAGAAGGGAUGACACAGUAGGAUAAGCUAAGCACACUGUUGGUUAUGUGUGCCCAAGCAUUGAGGCAGUCAAAGUAGGCAAAUCCGCUUUGAUAAUGCUGGGAUGUGAUGGGGAGCGAAAUUUAGUAGCGAAGUAGCUGAUUUCACACUGUCAAGAAAAGUCUCUAUCGAGGUUAAAGGUACCCGUACCGCAAACCGACACAGGUGGGUGAGGAGAGUAUCCUAAGGCCAGCGAGAGAACUGUUGUUAAGGAACUCGGCAAAAUGACCCCGUAACUUAGGGAUAAGGGGUGCCACCAUCAGGUGGCCGCAGAGAAUAGGCCCAAGCGACUGUUUACCAAAAACAUAGGUUUCUGCUAAGUCGCAAGACGAUGUAUAGGAGCUGACGCCUGCCCGGUGCUGGAAGGUUAAGGGGAUCUGUUAGAGCAAUCGAAGCAGUGAACUUAAGCCCCAGUAAACGGCGGCCGUAACUAUAACGGUCCUAAGGUAGCGAAAUUCCUUGUCGGGUAAGUUCCGACCCGCACGAAAGGCGUAACGAUUUGGGCACUGUCUCAACAACAGACUCGGUGAAAUUGUAAUUCCGGUGAAGAUGCCGGAUACCUGCGACAGGACGGAAAGACCCCAUGGAGCUUUACUGUAGCUUGACAUUGGGUUUUGGUACUACAUGUACAGGAUAGGUGGGAGGCUUUGAAACCAGGACGCCAGUUUUGGCGGAGCCAUCCUUGGGAUACCACCCUUGUAGUACUGGGACUCUAACCAUAGGCCAUGAAUCUGGUCUUGGGACACUGUCAGGUGGGCAGUUUGACUGGGGCGGUCGCCUCCCAAAAGGUAACGGAGGCGCUCAAAGGUUCUCUCAGUACGGUCGGAAAUCGUACGUAGAGUGUAAAGGCAAAAGAGAGCUUGAUUGCAAGACAUACAGGUCGAGCAAGGAUGAAAAUCGGACUUAGUGAUCCGGUGGUUCUGCGUGGAAGGGCCAUCGCUCAACGGAUAAAAGCUACCCUGGGGAUAACAGGCUUAUCUCCCCCAAGAGUCCACAUCGACGGGGAGGUUUGGCACCUCGAUGUCGGCUCAUCACAUCCUGGGGCUGUAGUAGGUCCCAAGGGUUGGGCUGUUCGCCCAUUAAAGUGGUACGCGAGCUGGGUUCAGAACGUCGUGAGACAGUUCGGUCCCUAUCCGUCGCAGGCGUAGGAAAUUUGAGAAGACCUGUCCUUAGUACGAGAGGACCGGGAUGGACGUACCUCUGGUGUACCAGUUGUUCUGCCAAGGGCAUGGCUGGGUAGCUAUGUACGGAAUGGAUAAGCGCUGAAAGCAUCUAAGCGCGAAGCCAACUUCAAGAUAAGAUUUCCCACCGCAAGGGUAAGACCCCAGAAAGACUAUCUGGUUGAUAGGUCGAAGGUGUAAGUGCAGCAAUGUAUUUAGCUUAUCGAUACUAAUAGGUCGAGGACUUGACCAA